AUUGAACGCUGGCGGCAUGAUUUACACAUGCAAGUCGAACGAUAACAGGCGGCAAGGUGCUGACGAGUGGCGAACGGGGGAGUAAUGCAACGGAGCGGGCCCAGUCCUGAUGGAAAAGUACUCGAAAGAGGAGCUAAUACCUAAUACGAGCUAUUGAAUAAAGCGGGGGACCUUAAUGGUGCACGCGAGUGGAGCUGCCGAUGUCAGAUUAGGUAGUUGGUGGGGUAAAGGCUCACCAAGCCAACGAUCUGUAGCUGGUCUGAGAGGACGAGCAGCCACACUGGGACUGAGACACGGCCCAGACUCCUACGGGAGGCAGCAGUGGGGAAUUUUCGACAAUGGGCGCAAGCCUGAUCCAGCAAUGCCGCGUGCAGGAAGAAGGCCUUCGGGUUGUAAACUGCUUUUGUACGGAACGAACCGGCUCUGGUUAAUACCCGGGGCUCAUGACGGUACCGAAACAAUAAGCCCCGGCUAACUACGUG
This 482-nucleotide ribosomal RNA is filed under the name uncultured bacterium. Its description in RNAcentral is "partial 16S ribosomal RNA". It matches the Rfam family "Bacterial small subunit ribosomal RNA", at positions 30 to 507 of the family's 1533-position model. The record is from RNAcentral.